This is a long non-coding RNA of Argiope bruennichi, 380 nucleotides long. RefSeq lists it as uncharacterized. The record is from RefSeq and is a predicted model, not a curated record. Lineage: Eukaryota; Metazoa; Arthropoda; Arachnida; Araneae; Araneidae. The transcript has 3 exons.
GCAUAAAUGUGGUUAUAAAAUUAUUUAUUGAGUUUAAAAUGAAAUGUGGGUAAAAAAAUUGCAAACACUGGGUAAUAAUUUUGCCCUAUAUAAAGGAGAGGUUUCUUGUUGGAGACAUCAUCUAAUCGAAAGCAUUUAGUUCUAUCUAAGCUCCACUUUUCAAAACAACCUCCAAGAUGUCCGUCAUGAAAAGCGUUUUCUUGAUGCUCUCCAUCUCCGCCAUGAUGAGCAUGGCAUUCGCAAAUGUCUUUGACAAAAUUGAGGAUGGAUUGAAUGGCGCAAUCAAAGCUACUGGCUUGUAAAGCUGCUGUGUCCGAUGGAGGUGACCAAUGUAAUGCAGUGUGGGCUUCAAGCAAAAAUAAAUAUUUAAUUCUGCAAUA